AGUGAACGCUGGCGGUAGGCCUAACACAUGCAAGUCGAACGGCAGCACAGUAAGAGCUUGCUCUUACGGGUUGCGAGUGGCGGACGGGUGAGGAAUACAUCGGAAUCUACUUUUUCGAGGGGGAUAACGUAGGGAAACUUACGCUAAUACCGCAUACGACCUACGGGUGAAAGCAGGGGAUCUUCGGACCUUGCGCGAUUGAAUGAGCCGAUGUCGGAUUAGCUAGUUGGCGGGGUAAAGGCCCACCAAGGCGACGAUCCGUAGCUGGUCUGAGAGGAUGAUCAGCCACACUGGAACUGAGACACGGUCCAGACUCCUACGGGAGGCAGCAGUGGGGAAUAUUGGACAAUGGGCGCAAGCCUGAUCCAGCCAUACCGCGUGGGUGAAGAAGGCCUUCGGGUUGGAAAGCCCUUUUGUUGGGAAAGAAAAGCAGCAGGUUAAUACCCCGCUGUUCUGACGGUACCCAAAGAAUAAGCACCGGCUAACUUCGUG
RNAcentral lists this ribosomal RNA (492 nucleotides) under uncultured bacterium. Its description in RNAcentral is "partial 16S ribosomal RNA". It matches the Rfam family "Bacterial small subunit ribosomal RNA", at positions 29 to 507 of the family's 1533-position model. The record is from RNAcentral.